UCCAUGAGGUAUAGGUGCUGAAUCGGC
RNAcentral lists this small RNA (27 nucleotides) under Bombyx mori (domestic silkworm). Its description in RNAcentral is "ovarian small RNA-26984". The record is from RNAcentral. Lineage: Eukaryota; Metazoa; Arthropoda; Insecta; Lepidoptera; Bombycidae.